UACGUAGGUGGCAAGCGUUGUCCGGAUUUACUGGGCGUAAAGAGCGCGCAGGCGGUCGAUUUAGUCGCGUGUGAAAGCCCCCGGCUCAACUGGGGAGGGUCACGCGAUACUGAUCGACUCGAAGGCAGGAGAGGGUAGUGGAAUUCCCGGUGUAGUGGUGAAAUGCGUAGAUAUCGGGAGGAACACCAGUGGCGAAGGCGACUACCUGGCCUGUUCUUGACGCUGAGGCGCGCAAGCUAGGGGAGCAAACGGG
Molecule: ribosomal RNA, 253 nt
Filed under: uncultured bacterium
Lineage: Bacteria
Description: partial 16S ribosomal RNA
Rfam family: Bacterial small subunit ribosomal RNA
Source: RNAcentral